Molecule: ribosomal RNA, 497 nt
Filed under: uncultured bacterium
Lineage: Bacteria
Description: partial 16S ribosomal RNA
Rfam family: Bacterial small subunit ribosomal RNA
Source: RNAcentral
GAUGAACGCUGGCGGCGUGCCUAAUACAUGCCAGUCGAGCGAACAGACGAGGAGCUUGCUCCUCUGACGUUAGCGGCGGACGGGUGAGUAACACGUGGAUAACCUACCUAUAAGACUGGGAUAACUUCGGGAAACCGGAGCUAAUACCGGAUAAUAUAUUGAACCGCAUGGUUCAAUAGUGAAAGACGGUUUUGCUGUCACUUAUAGAUGGAUCCGCGCCGCAUUAGCUAGUUGGUAAGGUAACGGCUUACCAAGGCAACGAUGCGUAGCCGACCUGAGAGGGUGAUCGGCCACACUGGAACUGAGACACGGUCCAGACUCCUACGGGAGGCAGCAGUAGGGAAACUUCCGCAAUGGGCGAAAGCCUGACGGAGCAACGCCGCGUGAGUGAUGAAGGUCUUCGGAUCGUAAAACUCUGUUAUUAGGGAAGAACAAAUGUGUAAGUAACUAUGCACGUCUUGACGGUACCUAAUCAGAAAGCCACGGCUAACUACGUG